RNAcentral lists this ribosomal RNA (440 nucleotides) under uncultured bacterium. RNAcentral describes it as "partial 16S ribosomal RNA". It matches the Rfam family "Bacterial small subunit ribosomal RNA", at positions 338 to 795 of the family's 1533-position model. The record is from RNAcentral.
CCUACGGGAGGCAGCAGUAGGGAAUAUUGCACAAUGGGGGAAACCCUGAAGCAGCAACGCCGCGUGGGGGAAGAAGUAUUUAGGAUUGUAAAGCCCUAUCGUCAGGGAAGAUUAUGACGGUACCUGACCAAGAAGCACCGGCUAACUACAUGCCAGCAGCCGCGGUAAUACGGAGGGGGCAAGCGUUAUCCGGAUUUACUGGGCGUAAAGGGUGCGCAGACGGGAUAGUAAGUCUGAAGUGAAAUCCUGUGGCUCAACUACGGAACUGCUGUGGAAACUGUGCGGCUAGAGUAUUGGAGGGGCAGGUGGAAUUCUUAGUGUAGCGGUGAAAUGCGUAGAUAUUAAGAGGAAUACUAGUGGCGAAGGCGGCCUGCUGGACAGUAACUGACGCUGAGGCUCGAAAGCGUGGGGAGCAAACAGGAUUAGAUACCCUAGUAGUC